Molecule: ribosomal RNA, 497 nt
Filed under: uncultured bacterium
Lineage: Bacteria
Description: partial 16S ribosomal RNA
Rfam family: Bacterial small subunit ribosomal RNA
Source: RNAcentral
GAUGAAUGCUGGCGGCGUGCCUAAUACAUGCAAGUCGAGCGAACAGACGAGGAGCUUGCUCCUCUGACGUUAGCGGCGGACGGGUGAGUAACACGUGGAUAACCUACCUAUAAGACUGGGAUAACUUCGGGAAACCGGAGCUAAUAACGGAUAAUAUAUUGAACCGCAUGGUUCAAUAGUGAAAGACGGUUUUGCUGUCACUUAUAGAUGGAUCCGCGCCGCAUUAGCUAGUUGGUAAGGUAACGGCUUACCAAGGCAACGAUGCGUAGCCGACCUGAGAGGGUGAUCGGCCACACUGGAACUGAGACACGGUCCAGACUCCUACGGGAGGCAGCAGUAGGGAAUCUUCCGCAAUGGGCGAAAGCCUGACGGAGCAACGCCGCGUGAGUGAUGAAGGUCUUCGGAUCGUAAAACUCUGUUAUUAGGGAAGAACAAAUGUGUAAGUAACUAUGCACGUCUUGACGGUACCUAAUCAGAAAGCCACGGCUAACUACGUG